AUGCCGCCUUGUGGUGCUGGGGAGCAGGCUCAGGUUUGUACCCCCCCCACUCCCUGCUUGUGCCUCGAAUGCCAAAAAGGCGCUCGGGUGCCUGCCCCCCCCCAGCCCGGCACCGCUGGAAGCGUUCCCAAACCCACGCUCCCCCCCCUCCCCAGACCCCGCAGCAGCUCUCCCUUCCCUCGAGGACAAGGGAGCCUUGGGCCCCACAGCGAUGCCCUCCCCUCCUCGCAGAGCAAGGUCGCGCGGUGGCACCGAGGACAAUGGGGAAUUGUCCCGGCACGGCCCCCCCUGCGGCCACCCCGGGCCGAGAGCAAACAGGGAACAAAGGCAGCGCUGUGGGGGCGCUGGGACCCCCCCCGCCUGUUUGCCUUGGACGGGGCAGGCGUGGGCACGGCGGGACCAAGGGGGGGGGUCCCGCUGUCAGCCCCAGCUCUUCCCACGGUGAUGCUCCCUGAAUUUCAUCGGGUCCGUGGGGAGGGCUGUGCUGGCACCAACCAACCUUUUCCUUUUCCUUUUUUUUUUCUUUUUUUCCCUUUUUCCUUUUUUUUUUCCAGCCUAAAUGCCAGCCAGGGAACAUCGAGGCAGGCAGGUGCCCCGGGGCUGGGGCUGGCGAGCGGCCCCACGGAUGUGGCAGGGCCUGGCAGGGCUCCCCCCCCAAAAAAGCCCCGGCCCCGCAGGCUGCGGGAAGCUGCUGCUGUGAUGGGGAAGGGAAAGGAGGGGAAGGGAGGAGAGAAAGGGCACUUGUGCGGCACAAUCCCGGGUCCUGUGCCUUGGCUCAGCCGCUGUGGGGCCACAGGGUACCCACAGGGAUGGGGACGAGCCAUAAUUAUUGCCUCUGGUGUUAAUGGGGGGACCCCAGCGCCCCAGGGCUGCAGGCACACAAGCAGCACGAGUUGUGGCAGGGCUCAGCCCGGGCGGGAGCUCUCAGCUCUCCAACCUGGGGCUGCAGGGGUGGUGGGACGUGUCCCGGGAGGCAGAACGGGGCCGGGAAUCGGUGUGGGGAAGCAAGGUGCCGUCCCCACCACCCGGAGGCUUCUUCCCCGCAGGUUGCCACCCGCGGGGACCUGCGUGCCCGUGGCCUGCUGGUGCCGGGGGCGGGUUUGGUGGUGCCUUUCUGCUCCAGGAGCGUGCCACCCGCACCGUGUGGCAGCUGUCCCCAUGUGCAGCCCCCCCUGUCCCCCCAUACUCACCCAUGGUGCCGGACUCGGUCCGCUCCCCGUGCGCUCAGCUGCCUGGGCUCUGUCUGCAGCUGGGACCAGCCCUCGCCUCUCCUGGCAGUCCCUCGCCCUGUACCGUGCCCUCUGGGUGCCUGUCCCCCUCUCCAGCAAAGAAAAGGGCUCUCUGCGUGACAGCCACCCCCCUUAA
RNAcentral lists this long non-coding RNA (1365 nucleotides) under Anas platyrhynchos platyrhynchos (common mallard). RNAcentral's name for it is "lncRNA (ENSAPLG00000028366.1)". The record is from RNAcentral. Lineage: Eukaryota; Metazoa; Chordata; Aves; Anseriformes; Anatidae.